Molecule: ribosomal RNA, 521 nt
Filed under: uncultured candidate division MSBL6 bacterium
Lineage: Bacteria
Description: bacterial SSU rRNA
Rfam family: Bacterial small subunit ribosomal RNA
Source: RNAcentral
GGCCAGCAGCCGCGGUAAUACGAAGGAUGCAAGCGUUAUCCGGAAUUACUGGGCGUAAAGGGCGUCUAGGCGGUUGAGCAAGUCACCUGUAAAAGUCCACGGCUUAACUGUGGAAUGUCUGGUGAUACUGUUUGACUUGGGUACAGGAGAGGAGGGUGGAACUCACAGAGUAGCGGUGGAAUGCGUAGAUACUGUGAGGUACCCCGAUGGCGAAGGCAACCCUCUGGCCUGUUACCGACGCUGAAGCGCGAAAGCGUGGGGAGCGAAGGGGAUUAGAUACCCCCGUAGUCCACGCCGCAAACGAUGUUCACUGGGUGUCGGUCAUUAAUUAGAUCGGUGCCGGAGCUAACGCAUUAAGUGAACCGCCUGGGGACUACGGCCGCAAGGCUAAAACUCAAGAGAAUUGACGGGGCCCUGCACAAGCGGUGGAGCACGUGGUUUAAUUCGAUGAUAAGCGAAGAACCUUACCUGGACUUGACAUACUAGCAGCAGGAGCCAGAAAUGGUAACGACCCCUACUUU